RNAcentral lists this small nuclear RNA (23 nucleotides) under Arabidopsis thaliana (thale cress). RNAcentral describes it as "snRNA_10777". Lineage: Eukaryota; Viridiplantae; Streptophyta; Magnoliopsida; Brassicales; Brassicaceae. The record is from RNAcentral.
AGAUUCCAACUACUAUAGGGUUG